RNAcentral lists this transfer RNA (68 nucleotides) under Poropanchax normani. Its description in RNAcentral is "tRNA-Glu". It matches the Rfam family "tRNA". From Rfam's summary of the family: Transfer RNA (tRNA) molecules are approximately 80 nucleotides in length. Lineage: Eukaryota; Metazoa; Chordata; Actinopteri; Cyprinodontiformes; Procatopodidae. The record is from RNAcentral.
GUUUUUGUAGUUGAUAACAACAAUGGUUUUUCAAGCCAUAGGUCCAGGUUAGAGUCCUGGCAAGAAUG